Molecule: ribosomal RNA, 253 nt
Filed under: uncultured bacterium
Lineage: Bacteria
Description: partial 16S ribosomal RNA
Rfam family: Bacterial small subunit ribosomal RNA
Source: RNAcentral
GACGAACCGUGCAAACGUUGUUCGGAAUCACUGGGCUUAAAGGGCGCGCAGGCGGCUCGCCAAGUCGGGGGUGAAAUCUUUCGGCUCAACCGGAAAAGUGCCUUCGAUACUGGCGGGCUAGAGGGAGGUAGGGGCAUGCGGAACUUCCGGUGGAGCGGUGAAAUGCGUUGAUAUCGGAAGGAACGCCGGUGGCGAAAGCGGCGUGCUGGACCUCUUCUGACGCUGAGGCGCGAAAGCUAGGGGAGCAAACGGG